AGAAGUUCCGCUACAUCAUGUGUCCGUCCAGGGCCUUUUGCCUUCGACGUCUCAUUUCGUGACGUAUGAGGGUUCACUCACUGUACCUGCAUGUCAUGAAUCAGUCACGUGGCUCGUAAUCAACAGGCCAAUUUACAUCACUAAACAACAGCUCUACAUUCUGCGAAAGUUGAUGCAAGGUGACGAACGCAAUCCUAAGGCACCCUUGGGCAACAAUUUCAGACCUCCUCUUCCUCUAAAUCGGCGAGCCCUCAGGAGCAACAUAAAUUUUAUUCGUCAGGACGGUAAAGACUGCCCCAAUAUGCACAGGAAUAUGAGAUACCAAGCAAACACGUGGGCAUCUCCUGCACCUUGAUCUAAUUUUCUGUCUUCGCAUGAUCGUAUGUUCUGUUACAAAACCUAAGUAUAAGACACGGUGCUCUCUCAAGAUGGAAUUUACAGCUAAAUUUGAAACUGCGAAUGUUUCUGCACUGGAUGCUUUGUACAGAAAAAAGAACUCUUAUGGACCCCUCGUUUUCUCCUUAUAUAUAUAAUAAAUGCAUGAACAUAUCUAUGUGUAUGUAUGUAUAUAUAAGUAAUAAGUAUGUAUACAUGCAUAUGUAGAUAUAUGCAUGUAUAUAUAUAUAUAUAUAUAUAAGUAUAUGUAUAUGUUAUACGUAUAUAUAUGUAAGUAUAUGUAUAUGUUAUACGUGUAUAUAUAUAUAUAUAUAUAUAUAUAUAUAUAUAUAUAUCCAUAAUUGAAAAGAAGCUGUUCAAGAAGAUUUAAUAGGAUUUUAUACAGCGUGACUUAACUACAGCAAAUUGCGCAUUUAUUAUACACAUUCCAUAAAGGAUCUGAUAUAUUUCGUGUUUUUUCUAAAUCAAAGUGUUUCUUUCCAAUGACUAAAAUUUGUAAGCAACAAGAUCACGCUAAUCAUUUCCUAAUCUGGAGCAAUUAUAUGAUUUUAGGCUUUCAUAGGCUGUGUAAUAUUUUCAGCAGCUACUAGUUCUUGAUAAUUCAGACGUCAUUGUAUCGAUAUCAGUGAUUUUUAGUGAUUGAUUAGCAUCUUUGCGAAUAGUAUUGAAAUGUAAGAUUGAUAUGUAAGAGACGUAAAACAGGAAUUCAAAUAUGAAUUAUAUAUAUAUCUAUCACAGUGGACAGCAUGUUUAUCAUUGCGGUCUGAUGUCAACAAAGCAAAGCUAAUUGUUGAUGCUUGUGUGAACCAGACAGACAGCUGCUUAGAGUUUGUCUGUACAAGGCGUUAUUUGUAUACCUCUAUAUUCAGUUAUAUAUUUAUAUUAACACUAGCCUGGCAAUGAGUUUUCUGAAUACUAUAGUUAACUUUUGACUCUGAAAAGUGAAGAAAAAUGUUGGACUAUUACAUUAAGUAACUACAGUAUCUCAAUGAAUGUUAUGUAAUCAAUAAUCAACUAUUGAACUUAAUUCCAUAUGUCUUAUUAGAGGAAACGCGUUAUUUCGUGACUUUAUUUAUAUCCUUUUCUGUAAGUUCAUCUUUCUCAUGUCAAGCGCUAGAUUUGAUAACAAUUAUCUUUAUUACUGAUACGCUCUCUAAAAACUUUCAUCUAGCAGGGAAAGAAAUAACACUUCGUUUUAUAAAAGGUUAUGAUUUUACUUAAAUCAGCUCACAGGGUUGCUUAGAAAAAUUACCCAUGAAGGAAGGUGAACAUAACAUUAUGACCUUAAUUCAAUUCAUGAUCUACUAAUAACAGUACUAAAAUGUCUACGUAAUGCAUUAGUAUUAGUCAUUAAUGACUAAUUUAAAUUAGUUGCAUAAACUUAUCAAAAUGUAUAAGAUAUUUAUUGAUAAUGUUUUAGCUACUAUUUCAUUACAUCUUUAAAUCUGAAUCGCUAUAUGUAUUUAUGUUUCGUGUAAUAGUCUCAGGUCAUUUUGUCCUUUGAUUCAAAAGGAAUAAAUAUUAAUCAUUUUAAGUUCUUUACAAAUGUUUAAAGAUAAGAAUAUGUCGAAAAUUAAAUUACAUUUUUCAGAUUUUGAAUAAGUAAUUUAGCUAAAAUAUCAAAAGAUAAUGUGUUAAAUUAGUAGCUUCUAUAGAACUGAUAAUGCAUUAAAUCCAUACAAUAUUUGAGCAAUGUUCAAUUGCAAAAGCUAACAGAAUUCUGUGAAUGUUCCAGCUUUUCAAAACUUAUCAAUGACUCUCGUGUAACAAAAUAUUUUAAAUUCCCAUAAAUAAUUUUCAAAACGAAAACUUUGUUCGGUAUCUAUAACAGUCGCUAAUUCAUGUAUUAUUUAUUAGCCUUAUGUUUAAAAUAAAAAUUAAUAAACUCUGGAAUUUAAAAAAUGUAUACUAUAUUACGUUGUGAUAUGAAGAUAUGAUUUAAAAGAACCUAAUAAAUGUUUCAGACAAUCAUAAAAAAUCACAGUAAAAAUAUCUUAUAACUGAUAUAGAAUAUCUAAAGCAUAUUCUAACUUCGUAAAACUUUAGGUAAUUUUUUUUUUCUCAGAACUCUAAAUUCAGAAAACUACUUUCGUCAUUUAAUAGAAACGAAGUAAUUACUUCAGUCAUUUUUCAGCAAGAACAUCAAACUAUAGAGCUAUGAGACAAAUGUUUUGUCUCUCCUACAUCUUUGCCCUUUAGUGCAAAAUACUUUAUGGUAAAUGGCGAGGUACGGUGUCGCGAAAUAAAUGCAUCUUGCCAAGUCAAUUAGUUACAGAAAAUUGGGUCUAAUUUAUCCUUUACCUUGUUAACCCAGGUGAUGAUAUCAUAGGAAAAAAAGUUGUGUUAGACUCUACAGACAUAAAAUAUUAACAAAAAAAGUAAGGAAUGUUGUUAGGAUAAAUAUUCAAAGAGUAUCAGUCAUCAUUAUUGAGUAUGAAGACUUAGCAUAGUAUAUUUAUUCAAGACAAUAGCGAUAGACCAUCUGUUGAUAUCGCCAAAAUGUUGAGAAAUAUUAGUGUUUUCCUAGGUUGACUGAGUUAUCUUCCACUAAAUCGCGUUCUACAUUUAAAUAAAUGGUAAAUUUCGAAUAUAAAAGUGAAAAUUAAGAAUAUGUAUAUAAAAUCAAAAAACAAGAUCUACCUUCAUCGUCAUAUUUCAUGAAAAACAACUAAGAGUUUAUAAUCUCUUUUAUACCAAAUGAAUGUAUUGCUCAUUCGCUACCCUUUUAAUAACCGCUAGAGUGUUAUUUAGAAAACUGAUGUCGUAUACUCAAAAUUGUAACUUACUCCUACUUAUCUUCAUACCUUAAAUUUUAGCAAGUACUAUUCAGACUUGUCUGAUAUUACUCUCAAAAGUUAUAGAGAGUAAUUCAUAUCCUCCAUUCGGUUUCUUAUAGAUCUCGCACUGCAUAAUCCUUAUGCACAAGCUGUAUGAUAAAGUAUUCUUUAAUAAACACAAUGUAAAGGAAACCAUAUUCUCUGCAAAAGUUAUAACUAUAACAGAAAUGUAUACGACUAUACUAAUUAUCAGUAGAAUUCCUUUUCAUGUGAUGAGUUUUAAUGUAGGAGUGAAUGAAUGACUCUUUUCAGCAUUCUUCUGCCGUAUAUAUUUGGUAAAUUACUAUUCAAAAUUUUCUGUACAACAUGCUCAUAAAAUUUAACUGACCGAAGGCAUAACAGGGAGAGCAAAGUGUAAAACUCGCGUAUUUCAAAGCUGUUCCGAAUUUUCGACAUAUGGGAUGCCCCAACUUUGAAGCCGUGGAAAAGUUACCAUUUUAAUAUCAUUUGAAAAAUCCAGAAGUGUGAUGAUAUCUCACACUAAUGUCAUGCGUGUGCACACUGCACAUCAAAUAGUGUCAAAACACAUAAAAUAAAAACAUUUUUUAUUCGCCUCAGCAGGUGACAUAAGGUAUACAUAAAAUUAAAAAGGCUGUGCUUAUCACCAGUGCAUCUAUUGUUAAAUUCAAAGCUCAUCAAAGUACCAUAAGAUGAAGAUUAGCUAAAUUUAUGAAAAAGGAAAAAAACUUUUUCCUAGUACCGUUUUACACGUAUUUCUCUUGUAUAUUUGAAUGAACUAUUUUAUAUAACAGCAUCUAUGAAAUUAUUGAUCAUUUUUUAAUUUCCAUUUAAAAUCCUUACGCAUACAUAUAUCUAAUUACGUAUUAAUUCUAUUACAGUAAUUAAUAAUAUGCAUACUAAUUAUGUAUAAUAGUCUGGGUAUAUACGCGCAUUUUCUAUCUCUUUUACAACUAUUAUAAACUUGCCCUUUAUUGUUAUGUUCAGUCAUUCUUUGACUUACUCUUAAAAAUUUGCUGUAAACAUUAAUAUUGUUAUAAUUUUAAUUAAUAAAAUGUACUGCAUUUAAUAUUCAAGUAAAACCUCAGCGAUGAAAUUCUGUAACACGACAGAAGGAUAUACUUUUAAAAUUUUUCUUAGAUUUCUUUAAAUAAAAAAAAAUUUCAAACAUCUGAUUAAAUGAGACAUACAAAUUACGAAUCGCCCAUCCGCUACGUGCUGCAAGAAAACUAAAAAGACGUGAUUUUUUCCCCUAAUUCUAAGAACAAACGUUCAUUAACCAUCAUCUUAGAAAAGAAGGUAAUUUUGUAUGGUUUUAGUAGAGCUAUCAUAAAUAUCAAGAAGAAAUCAAAUUAAAUAAAAUUUAAGAUCUCCGCUUAUACUAUGAGAGCUUACUUAUACUUCUUUUAAUUUGUUAAAAAUAUUUUAACAAUCGUAUAGUCAUCCGUCAUUUGUCAUCUGUCAUAACGUACAUCGUCUUCGAUGUGUUUCAAAUGUUAAUUCUACUGAAAUAAGUAUAGCUUAAGCAUUCAUGUGUUACAUCAAUAUAUGCUGCAAUACUGUAAUACUUUAUUAUCUUGUCCUUUCUGCCUGAGUAAAAGUAACCUAUUCUUUAUGUUUAUGGGUAAAAUAUACAUGCAGAAUUAUUAAUGUUACGAAUCGUAAGUUUUACAUAAAUACAUUCUACAAGGAACAAAAAUUAAAACAUUUUUUUUUAUUUUGAUAAAGUAGAUUUUUGAGCAUACUUUCAUGCAAAAUAAAACACAGAAAUUUUAAUGACUACUCCUUUUUAAAUAAAUAUUAAAGUUAAGAGACCUGGAGUCAUUUAAAUUUAAAAGAUUUCCGCUUCGCUAGUUCGGGCUUGUUUUAUCUUAUUUUAUUAGCUAAUUAGAUUGCUCUGGACAAGACUAGAUACAUUAAACUUAAUAUAUUUGUAACUAAUAUUAAAAAUAAAUUAAACUGAAAUAAAAGCAAACGAAAUGUUUUUAAAAUUACUCAGUGGAGUUCAGCAACAAAAAGUUUACUGGUGACCAUUUUAGUUAUCUAUUUACGGCUUGUUGUAAUUAUGCAAAAUGUAAUCUAACGAUAAUAACACUUGCAAUAAUUUCCAUAAAAAACUACAGAUGUUGUUUGGCAUAUCCAUACCGUCUGAGAGGGAAACUGUGCACAUUUUUUACGUCAUGUCAGUUCACAAAUGUUUAGUGGAAAACCUGUGCUUGACUAAAUAUUAUUUCUUAAGGAAUAAACUGAAUUUUAAAAAACUUUGCACAAAUAUUGUUACAUAUUGCAGUCAUAUAAAUUUUCGAAUGUAAAUUUCUAAAGGAUUAAUUUGAAAGCAUUUAUUUAGAAAUAUUGGCUUCAAAGUAUCAAUUGUAGAAAUAUUAUAUUUUGAAAAUUUGAAUGUUAUGAAAUUCAACAUCAUCCAACCCCUAAAUCUAUAUUCUUUUCAGUCCUUUUUCGGGUGACACUAGCUUUAGUCCUAAAGUUAUGACACUAUUUUCCAACUUCAGCUAUGUGUAUUAUAGUAGUACUAGUUUUCCUAAAAAGAUCUUUAGUCGAGUGAGGAACAGCUUGCUGACUAAACCUUUUCUCUUAUAUCAGGUUUAGUAUAUUUUUACUAAAAUGUGUCACUUUACUAAAAUGGUUAUAAUCUGAAACUCUACUUCAUAGGUUUCGUUUCUUAAACUAAAACCGUGACCAGCAUUUUAAGAGAUAUUUAGCAAAGCAACUUUUAAGUGCGUAUGUAAUAUAAACAAUGGUUAAAAUUGAAGAUAACCCAUAAUGUGAAAAUUAGAGCUGAGGAAUCUCUCCAGUUUAAAUAUAGUCAUAGAUAUUUCAGUCCGCUCAUUAUUGCAAAUAUGCCUUCGUUAGCUAAGUAAAUGUAAUUGAAUAGACUCAGCAGCCCCUCUCACCUGUUACUAAAUUUUAUAUCUUAUCAAAUAACAUGUUGACAGGAAGAUGCUAGAGCUUAGAUGAGAAAGCUUUAACUUCUAUGAUUGGAAAUUAAACUGAAGGCUUCCUUAAACUGAAUAUUUUUCCGUGCUAUUAUCGCAUCACGUUAUCUCUCAUUGGUGAUAAAAUCGUUGUAUGGGAAUGGAUGAGAUUUCACGCCUUUAUGCUAUUAGCAUGUUCCAUCCAAAUAUUUCUCACGAAGAAAGGUUUAUAUAUGACACUAAGAUAUUGUCUGGUCAGGAAUAUUCAUUUAAAUACAUGCUCGCUAAAGUUUCUCUAUAUAAAUGAGGUUUAAAAAUAUAUUGAAGUAUAACAAAAAAGGCAUAUGGGAAAACAUUUCAAACUAGAAAGGUUAACAGGAUGUAUAAAAAUUGAAAACUGAAAUUUAAAUUGCAUAGCUCUCCUUUAAAACUGAAAAAAGCUUUCCUAAAGAAAACGUCCCUUUUAGGAACAGCAUUGAGAGGGAAUACUAUGACUUUCAUCAUAUGACUUUCAUCAUAAAAUCAUUUUUAAAGCUUCUGAAUUCACUUCAAAAUUAAUUUUCAGGUUUAAGAUUUUUAAAGCUCAAUGAAUUAUAAAAGUUCUUAUUUAAUAUAACACGCGUUAUGAUAUUUUUCGUGAAGGCAUCUUCUUUUUUCUUUUUUUUUUUCCUUUAACACAUAUUAUUACGUCUUCAUCACACUUUUAGUAGCCUAUUUAUAAAUUAACUAAAUGCAUUUUAAUAUACAAAAAGCUAUAAAAAUCAACUAAAAUUACUCUUUUCGCUUUUAAAUUAAUUCAUUUCAUCUUCACUCGUUCAUUCCUUUAUCCUAACUAAUUCUUAAUUACAACUAUUGAAAACACAAUACGAUUCUAAACAAAUUAGCAUGUCAAUUUGGAAAUUAGAGCAAUUUCUCUUCGGCUGAGGCGUUUACAACAUGAUGGAGAGACUUUAAAUUGCAUUUUUGAAAAGUCUUCUGUACCUUAUUCAUAGUAGCAUUUUUAAAAAUGCAUAAAUCGUUCCAAAAUACAAAAACAAAUUCCUAAAAUAAUGUCAUUAGCUAUAUUCAUCCUCGUCUUAAUGGCUGCCUUUUAUUUUUUUAUAUGCACAAGUAAUAGGUACAGGUAAAUAACAUAAUAAGUAAUAUAACUUUCUGUUCUAACACUCCCUGCAUCAUAUUUACUCUUUUCAUUCUUAGUACAAAGCAUUUGCCACGCCUUUGGACGCCUUAAUAUCAUUAUUUGCAUUUAAAAAACAAAUUGAUCGAUUUGAUUUGACUAAUGACAAUUAAGUUUGACUUUUGCUGAUUCGAUGAAAAGAGAGAUCAAAUAGAUUCGUUACUUCAUGAAAUACCAUUUUUUGCACACUUUGCGAAAACGAUUUUCAUAAUUAUUCAUUAAUUCAGAGUUGUAAAUAAUACCUUAACUUUAAAAUCGACCUUUUUCAAUGUCCAUCAAUGUUUCAAUAAUGUUUUCCGAUGUUUCAACGUCCAUCAAAACAAAAGAAAAUGUGGUAAUUUUUAAAUGUAUCAAUUUAUUUAAUGGGGAAAAAUUAAAAGCUAAAAAUUCGCAGUUUAAAGUCCCACCACGAGAGACAAACGAAUGAUGUAAUAGUAAUUACUUCGGAAUGAGAUUUUAAACUUAAGCUGUCUCUGAAUAAGAUCAGUGUAUUAUUAAAAUGCUCUGUCACUCAUAACUGAUAUCUAAAAUUUAGAAAAUCUUUGAAGUAAUAUGUAGUUUGCUCUUUUAUUUCCGAAAUAAUUGAAUAUUGGAAGCAAAACAACUCCACUUCUAGUACUUGAAGAAAUCAGAGGACUAUGGGAGCAAUGAUUUAUUUUUUGAAUUUGGCUAUUUGAUUUUGUCCUGAGAGAAGUGUGUGUGAAACUGUAACUCCUUUUCCAACGUAUGAAUUUCCCAUUUAAAAUUAAACUUUUCACUCAAAACUGUUAUAUUUAUUUCUAUACUUUUCUGCAAAUACUACAUAUGUUAUUAUCGUGUUAAAUUUAUAACAUAAGUCUACAAGGUUUUCAUCAUUAUACUCUAGUGAUUUAAAAUAUUUUCAUUUGAAUUUUUUCUCUAUUUAUUUUGUUAAUUUUUAUUAUUGUAGAGUCAUAAUACUCGCGUGCUUUUACAGAGAAGUUGAAUCUACUUUAAAGUAUGGAUAGCAUAUCUAAAUCGCUCGCAGUAUUAAACUGGUUACAGAGGUACUCUUGUGAAAAAUAUGUGAUUUUUUAUUCGCACUACAGCCAUAUGAGUUGUGAAUAUCACAUGAAAUAUCACUGAGUGAAGUAUAGGUGUAUAGAAUUAAUUUAAUACCUGAAAAAUUUUCUACUCGUGUUCAUGCAAAUGUUCAUGUAAUGUGGCAACACUUUGUUCACAUUUUUAUUGGCUACUUAUAUAUAAAUAAACAAAUAAAUAUAUAUAUAUAUACAUGUGUGUGCGUGUGUGUAUGUAAUAAAUUGAUACCAUCGAUGUUUAAGCUAAAGUGUCAAAAGUAUCUGAUUGUGUACAGAUCAGAGACUGGCAAUGGAUUUAUCAAAAACAAUUGUCGACCAGGAAAUAAAAGUACUUUCAUAAUGUU
RNAcentral lists this long non-coding RNA (8703 nucleotides) under Stegodyphus dumicola. RNAcentral describes it as "uncharacterized LOC118182444". Lineage: Eukaryota; Metazoa; Arthropoda; Arachnida; Araneae; Eresidae. The record is from RNAcentral.